Long non-coding RNA from Balaenoptera ricei (Rice's whale), 323 nucleotides. RefSeq lists it as uncharacterized. NCBI's taxonomy places the organism in Eukaryota, Metazoa, Chordata, Mammalia, Artiodactyla, Balaenopteridae. The record is from RefSeq and is a predicted model, not a curated record. The transcript is spliced from 3 exons.
CGGGUCCGUAUCUUUGAAAGUAAUUGAAAACCACUAGCCUACACCCUGCUCCAGCACUCAAGAGCCUUGCUGAUGAAGUAUUCUCUUUGGAACCAAAAGAGUUUGAAAUAGUAAACGUUUUGAUGAAUGACAAAGUAAGACCUAGAUUGUGGUCGACACAGUGGUAGCAACAAGAAAACAUGGCAGAGAUUAGAAUCACUGGAUGCUGGGCUUCCUCUGCAUGAUGGCUCACUCUCAACAGAGACGGAGCACGGUGGAGGGGAGCCCCACGCUGGAGCACGGUGCCCAAAGCACUGGUGAGUCAUGGCCAACAGCAAGAUGGG